Non-coding RNA from Microcebus murinus (gray mouse lemur), 2226 nucleotides. Lineage: Eukaryota; Metazoa; Chordata; Mammalia; Primates; Cheirogaleidae. The record is from RefSeq and is a predicted model, not a curated record.
CGCUAGCUGCCGCGCGUGGCGAGGGCGGAGGCGGCCACGCACAUCAGGGAGGCCCCACGCGGAACUUACCUGAGGAGAAAGACCCUGCGCCGGGCCGGGAAAGGAGGAGGGCAGGCCUAGAUGAGGUGUCUGCCGCAGAAUUCAGAACUUAGGGCCCCACCCUGGAGACAGAUGUCACUGCUGCCCCAGGGCCCCCGUCUCCGCGUCUGGGAGUGGCGCACCCCAGUGUAGCUGCGUUCAACUUCGGCAACAGAGCUAUUCUGAAUGCACAAAUUGAGACAAACAUCCUUCUAAGUUCACAGCACCUUUUAAUCACUGGAGUGCAAGAUUUACAACAAGGCCAGUAGAAAUCGUGCCCUUCCACAGAGACUUUGAAUAACGCUGAUAUACUGGAUUACAAAAUAGAAACCAAAAAAUGCCCACAUUGCAUCCUAAACCAUCAGAGUGAGCACACCCUUCCAAGACACGCUACCUGAGCCCAACACGGCGCAGCGCUUCUCCCCACGCCAGUCUCCCAGCUCCAGCGCGACUCCAUCCCCACCGCGGGCUUCCUGCUGCCCAGUGGUGUAGGCGGGCAGGUGCUGACCACAGUGCUGAAGCUGUUGGAUGUGGUCACGCGCCCCACCGUGUCUGGCCGUCUUUAAAAUGUUGGGUGCCACUUUGGAUCCUGCUGGCCACAGGAAAAGGAAUGGCAUGUCCCAAAUACGGUGUCUUCGUUCUGGAUGUGGACUAAGGAAGGCGUGUGGUAUGUAGCUGCGCCUGCAGCAAGUCAUCAACAGCUAAUUACACACUGAGGACAUCAUGACACUCAUACUGAGUAACCCCAACAUUGUGAUGACUGUAUUUAAUUACUGGAAGACAGUAAUCCCAUAGAGGAAGAAAAAUGCAUGCUAACCAUAAGACUGUCAAAAUUAUGAGUCCCGAUACCUGUGACCAGUUAACCAGUGGAUGCUGCAUGCCUGAGAUUCUUCCUGUGAGGCCUGAAUGAACCAUGGGCUUUGGAGAAGGAGCGGAGUAGCGGGAUGAAGCCAGUUCCCAUCAUAUCCCAUUCUUCUUUCGUUAGGCCCUAAUGAUAAGACCACCAGAGUUGCUAAGCUCUUCCUCAUGUAUCACUAAUCUUGCUUCUAAAUUCUACAUGAUUAAUGCAGAAAUUUUUGGAAUAAGGUGAUGAAGUGUGAAACAGCUUCGUUUCUAAUCUACAUUUUUACAUUACAAAAUAUUGCAAAUUUCCUUUCAAACCCAGCCUAAACUCACUCAUGUGAACUCCUAGAGCAAUCUCUAGUAACUUUGUCACAACUCUCACUAUGCUUUAUCAUGAAUUACUUAUUUGUUCAUCUCUCUUGCUAUUAUAUAAGCUUUUAGAGGCUAAAAUCUUCCACAUCUUGUAUAUAUUUUUUACCUCUAGAAGUCUCUAAUAAGCAUUCCUUAAAUAUUGAUUGAAUAAAUAAGGAAUCUAAAUAUUACUUAUAAACUAUCAAGCAAAUCUGAGCAUUUUAUAACCCAAAAAGUUUAUAAGAUCGUGUACUGCGUUCUACACAUCAUAUUUUAAAUCAAGUAUAUAAAAGUUUGUUUUAUCCCAGAUUAUAAUUUGUCAUGUAAGUGACGAUUAGUAAUUUGAGGUGCCAAACUGAGUGUCCUGUUUAGACCACUUGCCUAGCUGUCAAUUUCACUAUGCUCGAGCAAGUGAAAGACAUUUUGUUUAAGAUAUAAAAUAAAAUAACACAUCCUCAUGUGAUUUUAUGAGGAGGUGAUCAUGUAUGUUACAAAUGCUCUCUUAAUAUAAACUAGCAGUCCCUACAAUGAAUAUACAAAUAAUUACAGCUAUUCUGAAUUUGAAGAAAAAGUCAUUUAAACAUUAAGCUGAAAUCAGCCACAGUAAGAGUGGAGUGAUCAGCCAUUCUAAUGUUAAAGAAGAAAUCAGAAAGAAAAGUAAUUCAGGAAUGUGCUCCACACACAGAGAGAAAAAUAAUGCCUGAAAAAUCAAAGGGAUGAUUUUGAACAGUUACAGUGAAGACCAUUGAUUCAUUCUUUUUGAUGUAUGUAUAAAUCUUAUCUAUCAAUUAUUCCUAUUUCCCUAAUUGUGUGCCAAACUUUGUGUAAGGUAUAGAAAUUUAAACAAUGAAAAAGAUUAUCUUGUCUUUUGCAAGAACAAUAAGAAAUGUACUUUUUGCUUAAGAUUGCUUUUUCUCUAGUUCCAUACAAAGCAUAGAACUAUUUUUUUCUAGA